GAGAUACACAGAGAGAGGCAGAGACACAGGCAGAGGAAGAAACAGCCUCUUUGCAGGGAGCCUGACGUGGGACUCGAUCCUGGGACCCCAAGGUCAUGCCCUGGGCUGAAGGCAGGUGCUAAACUGCUGAGUCACCCAGGGGCCCCCCUCAUCAUGUCAUUUAAUGCAGGCAGGACUUCUUUUUAUUGCACUAAGUCUUUCCCCACUUCCAGCUAUUCUGUCUCCUGACUCCCAAUUUGCGAGAUAAAAAAAAAAAAUUGAAACUAAGGGGUUUAAAUGAUCUGUUAAACAAACAUGUUAUUCUGGAUCCUCCGAAAAGCAGAAGUCAAGCUGGGAUUAAAUAUACAAAGGUCUUAUUAGGGGAAAAUGACUGUGUGAGUGAGAUGGGGAGGGAGCCAGAAAAAAAAGACGGGAGAGCCAUCUGUCCAGAAAGCAAAUCUGAUUGAGUGAAAAGGGGAGCAAGAGAAAGUUGGGUGGAAGCGUCCUAGACUCCUGUGCCAUCCAAGGAAGAUUCAGCAAGGCCACCAGGGAGUCCUUGAGGCAACCAGAGUCAGCUGUUGGCUGAGUCCCACAUCCUCUAGGAAUGGUCUUGCCUUCGUACCCUAGCCAUACUCAGCCAUUGGCUGGAGGGCUCAUAGGAGGUAUGGCCGGAAUGCAAAGGAGACUAGAGAUUUCAGGGUGCAGCAUUCAGACCCUUGAACAAUUACUCUCCUUGUAUUAGGAAGGCUGGAAGGUGCAUUUUCAUGGCUACCACAUGAAACUUCACACUACAUUGGUGCCAAAGCCAGAUCCAUCCUUGACUCAUACCUGUAAGAAAUUCAAUUAGCCCAGCAUCCUCUUUGAAUGUGAAGGAAGUUGUUCUUCAGCCAUUGUUUUCUCAAAAAGCAGGACGGCUUUCUACUGGAAAUGCCAAUUUUGCGUGGCCCUGGACACACAGGCUCUGUCUGCUAAAGAUGCCUUUGUCCUGUCUGAGGAAGAGAAAAGUUUCCAUGGAAUGCUUCUGUUGCUGCUCAACUUAAUUCUGGGCUUUGGAGCCCUGGAGUGGUGACUCAUUUAGUCAUAGGGACAGAACUCCUUCCAUAUGUUAAGGGUAAUUUAGGGGAAAUUGUUUGAAAAUUCAGUAUCUUUUGGCUGUAAUGGUACAUGAAAUACAUUUUAAAGAAGAAAAAAAGGAAAGAUGGAAACGGGGGUGAGGAAGGAGGAAAGCAACUUACGGAGUAAGGGUCACCUACAUUACAAUAUUGACCCGUUACUCUGAGAAGAGGGUAGGUAAAGACAGGUUGGGUGAGCUUACUAUUUUUAAAAAGUAAGGCUCUGUGCUCAACAUGGGGCUCAAACUCACAACCCAGAGAUCAAAAGUCACAUGCUCCAUUGACUGAGCCAGCCGGGUGCCCCUUAGGAUUCCUAUUUUAUAAAAUGUGGAAAUGGAGAUAAAAAAAGUUAAACCACUUGCCCAAAUUCCCACUGCUCAUGAAGGCAGAAAUGAACUCCAGCCCAUGUCUUUUGCCCUCCUCCAGUAAGACUGGGUCUACACAAUACCAAUAAAGAAAAAACAAAUGAACAAAGGGAAUGUUCUCUCUGAUGGAUUGAGAACUGUUGACUUUAAGCCUUGAAUCCAGGAUCAUGAAUUCCUGCUUCUUUUAGUGUUCAGGCACUUCCCCAACGACUGUUAGUAUCUUUCUGGAUGGGCAGAGGGGAACAGGACAGUAAGACAUAACAUUAAAUUGGGAUGGUCAUACAGUCUUACUUCUAAGAAAGCACCUUUACAUUUUACAUGUUGGGUGGAAUUGCAGAAAAAUAUAAUAAAUGAGUGUACAGGUUCCUGAGUCAGAUUACGGCUCUAUCACUUUUGUGUGACUGUGGAUAAGCAACUCGGUUCCUCUUUGCUGCAGUUCCUUCUAAGGUAACGUAGGAUGAAGUCAUAAUAUUAUUACCUCACAGGGUUAUUCUGAGGAUUAAAUGAGAUAACACAUUUAGAAAACACUAAGUAAAUGUAGGCCCUAAUGAAUAUAUAACCAGAAACCCUAUCAUUCUGAAAAAACAUGCCGGGCUCCAGCUCCAGCUGGGGUGGGUCUCUCGAAGGAAAGGCCGGCGUCGGCAAAUGAGGGGACGCACAGAGUCAGGGUGCAGACACGUCCUGAUCAUUUCGGAGGGGCUUUAUUUAUACCAUUUUACAUUGCCUUGCUUUUCCAGUUUCUUUUUUAGUAAAUAAUUACAUUUUACAUUUUAUCGCAAACAUCUUAGAUCAUUCUAAAGAUUAAGAAACAUCUUUUUCAUACGAAAUAUUUUUCCUUUCAGUUUCGACUGCUAUAAUGAACAUGACCUUUAUUGAUUUCUUGAGAAAGCAGUGAGUGUGAUGUAAAAGACAAAAGUGCUAGACAGAGCGUGGCCUAUUCUAGUGGAAAAACAAGUCUAUGGUAAUAUGGUUACAUGAAAGGGGUUAUUAUUUUAAAGGUUAUAUACAGAAAUGUUUAACUUUCUUCUAGCAGUUUACAGUACCCACAACUUAUUUUAUCAUGUGUUCCACUGGUUAACUGUUGUCUCUUUAACUUGACGCUUAAGAGGUACCUGAAGGACUUCUUCCAUGACAGCUUUAACUGGGCUAGGUUCCCAGAUUUAUUUUACCCUUAACUGAUAAAAAAACUCAGCAUUUCUCAUAUUAGAGGAAUUACAGAGUGGGGGGUGGGGGGCAUUGGGUUUUAUUCCAAGAAGCAUGUUGGAAAUUUUAAUUAUUUUUAGACUCCAUAUUUAUUUUAUGGAAAUUCCCCAAUAGUAUUAUAAUGAUGCUAAAGAUGGCCAAAAACAAAGUGAAAGGAAUCCAUGGGAGCCAGCUGUGGCUUCUCCUGAUUUUCAGGAUUAACUCCCAUGCCUGGACUUUGUCAAACAGCAUGAGUAGCCUGGCUCCCACCAAAAGCAACCUUGUUGUUCAAGAGUAACAACAGUGGGUAUUUCCUAAAUUUUCCAGUACUUACUAUACACUUUAGUAAAAUCGUUCCUAUUUGACUAUACUAAUUUAUGUUUGAACUUUUGUUAAACUCCUUGUCCUGUGGCAAAUGAAAAUUACCUCCUGGAUUUUCUUUUUUUAAAGAUUUUAUUUAUUUAUUCAUGAGAGACACACAGAGAGGCAGAGACAUAGGCAGAGGGAGAAGCAGGCUCCACACAGGAAGCCCGACGUGGGACUCGAUCCCGGGUCUCCAGGAUCUGGCCCUGGGCUGAAAGCAGCACUAAACUGCUGAGCCACCUGGGCUGCCCCCCUCCUGGAUUUUCAUGGCAUUUCUUGCGAGUAUUUUUCCAUAUGGUCAUGUUACUGACAUACCUUUUGCUCUGUAGUGAGGCCGAUGUCAACUGCCAACAGAACAGGCUUUGUCAUGUACUCCAAAUCCUAUAUUCUAAUAUGCAAACAAAAUGAUUCAUACCUAUAAUACAUAAUCCACUCAACUCAAAAUGAAAUACUAGCAUAGUCAUACUAUUCAUUUUGGUUAAAUCUUUUACAUUUUUCAUUUAACUCAAGUAAUCAAAUUCAUUACAAUCUCCAAUGAGAUAGUCACUGGCCUACUAUAGUAGAUGCCAAGGAUGCAGCCAUCCUUGCCUACUUGGC
This 3598-nucleotide long non-coding RNA is filed under the name Canis lupus familiaris (dog). RNAcentral's name for it is "lncRNA (ENSCAFG00000054773.1)". The record is from RNAcentral. Lineage: Eukaryota; Metazoa; Chordata; Mammalia; Carnivora; Canidae.